CCUACGGGAGGCAGCAGUGAGGAAUAUUGGUCAAUGGCCGGAAGGCUGAACCAGCCAAGCCGCGUGAAGGAAGACGGUCCUAUGGAUUGUAAACCUCUUUUGUCGGGGAGCAAAAGACGCCACGCGUGGCGUUCCGAGAGUACCCGAAGAAAAAGCAUCGGCUAACUCCGUGCCAGCAGCCGCGGUAAUACGGAGGAUGCGAGCGUUAUCCGGAUUUAUUGGGUUUAAAGGGUGCGCAGGCGGAAGAUCAAGUCAGCGGUAAAAUUGAGGGGCUCAACCUCUUCGAGCCGUUGAAACUGGUUUUCUUGAGUAGGCGAGAGGUAUGCGGAAUGCGUGGUGUAGCGGUGAAAUGCAUAGAUAUCACGCAGAACUCCGAUUGCGAAGGCAGUAUACCGGCGCUCAACUGACGCUCAUGCACGAAAGUGUGGGUAUCGAACAGGAUUAGAUACCCGGGUAGUC
Molecule: ribosomal RNA, 459 nt
Filed under: uncultured bacterium
Lineage: Bacteria
Description: partial 16S ribosomal RNA
Rfam family: Bacterial small subunit ribosomal RNA
Source: RNAcentral